AUGGCCAGGCUGUCUCCACCCGAGACUCAGUGAAAUUGAACUCGCUGUGAAGAUGCAGUGUACCCGCGGCAAGACGGAAAGACCCCGUGAACCUUUACUAUAGCUUGACACUGAACAUUGAGCCUUGAUGUGUAGGAUAGGUGGGAGGCUUUGAAGCGUGGACGCCAGUCUGCGUGGAGCCGACCUUGAAAUACCACCCUUUAAUGUUUGAUGUUCUAACGUGGACCCGUAAUCCGGGUUGCGGACAGUGUCUGGUGGGUAGUUUGACUGGGGCGGUCUCCUCCUAAAGAGUAACGGAGGAGCACGAAGGUUGGCUAAUCCUGGUCGGACAUCAGGAGGUUAGUGCAAUGGCAUAAGCCAGCUUGACUGCGAGCGUGACGGCGCGAGCAGGUGCGAAAGCAGGUCAUAGUGAUCCGGUGGUUCUGAAUGGAAGGGCCAUCGCUCAACGGAUAAAAGGUACUCCGGGGAUAACAGGCUGAUACCGCCCAAGAGUUCAUAUCGACGGCGGUGUUUGGCACCUCGAUGUCGGCUCAUCACAUCCUGGGGCUGAAGUAGGUCCCAAGGGUAUGGCUGUUCGCCAUUUAAAGUGGUACGCGAGCUGGGUUUAGAACGUCGUGAGACAGUUCGGUCCCUAUCUGCCGUGGGCGCUGGAGAACUGAGGGGGGCUGCUCCUAGUACGAGAGGACCGGAGUGGACGCAUCACUGGUGUUCGGGUUGUCAUGCCAAUGGCACUGCCCGGUAGCUAAAUGCGGAAGAGAUAAGUGCUGAAAGCAUCUAAGCACGAAACUUGCCCCGAGAUGAGUUCUCCCUGAGACUUAG
Molecule: ribosomal RNA, 819 nt
Filed under: Salmonella enterica
Lineage: Bacteria; Pseudomonadati; Pseudomonadota; Gammaproteobacteria; Enterobacterales; Enterobacteriaceae
Description: partial 23S ribosomal RNA
Rfam family: Bacterial large subunit ribosomal RNA
Source: RNAcentral